This 466-nucleotide ribosomal RNA is filed under the name uncultured bacterium. RNAcentral describes it as "bacterial SSU rRNA". It matches the Rfam family "Bacterial small subunit ribosomal RNA", at positions 329 to 792 of the family's 1533-position model. The record is from RNAcentral.
UUCCAGACUCCUACGGGAGGCAGCAGUGAGGAAUAUUGGUCAAUGGCCGGAAGGCUGAACCAGCCAAGCCGCGUGAAGGACGAAGGUGCCAAGCAUUGUAAACUUCUUUUGUCAAGGGACAAAAUCAGGCUCGAGAGCCUGACCGAGGGUACUUGAAGAAAAAGCAUCGGCUAACUCCGUGCCAGCAGCCGCGGUAAUACGUAGGGGGCAAGCGUUAUCCGGAUUUACUGGGUGUAAAGGGAGCGUAGACGGUGCAGCAAGUCUGAUGUGAAAGGUCGGGGCCCAACCCCGGGACUGCAUUGGAAACUGUUGAACUGGAGUACAGGAGAGGUAAGCGGAAUUCCUAGUGUAGCGGUGAAAUGCGUAGAUAUUAGGAGGAACACCAGUGGCGAAGGCGGCUUACUGGACUGUAACUGACGUUGAGGCUCGAAAGCGUGGGGAGCAAACAGGAUUAGAUACCCGAGUA